CAAAAAGAAAUAUUUUAAUCUCUUGUCUUACAUAACAUUAUUCCUUCCUCAAUUGGCUCUGGAUUUUCUGAUUAAACUUGGCUUCCUUCUUGUAAAGAAAAAUCUGUUUCGUUUUGUUCAUGUAAUAACUUUGUUCUUCAUCUAAUCAUCUCCCUGAGGUAAAUCAAAAUUGUAAUGCAUGUUUGCUUGCCUUGUACGUUUUGCUAAUCUAUUCGAAUUACGAAACCUUUUGACUGCAAAUGUCAGGUCUUUUUUUGGAAAAACACAUGUUCUCCUCUCUUUGUUUCGUAAUUGAAGUCGAUUUUGUGGGUGUUUGGUAUAGUAUUUGACUAUUGAGUAAAAGCCAGAAGAACAAGUGGUGCUGAGUGAGUUCUGUAAGAUUUGGAAUUUGUAUCAGAAACAUGAGUUUGGUAAGCGUCAGAAAUAAUGUGUCGAGACAAGAAUCUCACUGAUAUGCUUCAGAAGAGCGCUUUCAAAGACAUGAAAUAGCUCAAGAAAUAGUGGUCGACAAAGAACUUGACCUUCUUUUGUUUCUCUAUCUUAAGAUUGCAUGCUCUUGUUAUUUUUAUGUCUCCCAUGAGCAUCUUUUGUUGCCUGACAUAUAGCUAAGUUCACGGUUCUUGCUUAGCUUUGGAUAUGUUUGUUAUUUAGAGUUAACAACAUAGUGAGGUCAUAGAAUAAGCUGACAUUCCUUUUUACCAUUUUUGAUCCAUGUAAGCUGACUAAACUUUUUAACCAUUGAACCAAUUAAGCAACAUCCGUCUCUUCCAUUUGUCGUAUUACACUGUUUUGCACAAAAAAAAAGACUUUUGACUUCUAAGUUUUAUCCACUUAGUGAAGAAAAUUCCCUAUAUUGCUGUUGGUGAUCGUCUCACUCGUGCCUCCAAGGUUCUUUUUUUUUAAUAAGUAGCUAGAGAAGGUGCAAAGAACCAUUGAAAUUGGGUAAUUGUGUAGGUAUUGGAACAGCUCAGUAGUCACACCCGUUUCUUCUCCAAGGGUGUGUCCUGUAUGUUGUAGAGUUUAAUCUUGAGCUUGGUCUUGUUUCUGAACAACUAAGGUACACUCUGAGAUCUUUCUGUAUUAGAGCGUAACGAAAACAUUACUUGCUGAGUGGAGACAAGGCGAUGCAGCUUCUUGAGAGUGGCUUGAAAGUGAAGUAACACUGGCUGCUUUGGAUUUGGCUGUUGAGGAGGUUGGUCUUGGAAUCAAGAAAAGUGUUGUGAUAAGGUCAUACUCUGUAUCAAACACUGGUUGAUGAUUAUUUUCCUUUAUCUUAAAGGAUAUUAUUAUGUUGCAUACAAAGUGUGUCAUACUCUGUUAUCAGACACUCUGUGGAGCUGUUACAAUUGGCAAAAGCUUAUCGUGUUUUCUAUAGGUUGUAAAACGAUUUUGACAAAAAUACGCAAGUGAAAUUCCUGGUUCAUGGGGAUCAUUUGAGUGUCAACUGAUAUGGAGAUUACACCAACGCUUGAGAAGAUGCAUGAGGAAAGGCUACUCUUCUAUAUAUCACCAAUGAAGAUACAAGACCUUGGUGGUGUGCAGCAGUUUUAUAUGAAGGGAAUAUACAAAGAGAAUACUGAUUUGGCUGUUUCAACAACAAGUGAAUCUGAUCUUCUCAAGAAAGUUCAAGUUUGAGAGAAGGAUUCGAGGACAUUCGUCAUGAGAACACUUGGCUACAGAUUGCUAAGCUUACAUCAGUAUAUGGAUACUGACGUGGAGAUGGAAGAGUGAAGGAGAGCUUGGGGACGACAAGGAAGGUUUGCUGUUUGUGAAAGGGAAGGGGAAGGGGAAGAGAGUACAAUUGUUUCAACGAAGAUUGAUAAAGUUCAGGGAUAUGAUAAGUGGGCUAAGGAGGCACGUAAUUUGAUUUGCCAAUCAAAAUAGUCAACAAAGAUUGAGAUUGUUCUUCUUCAUGCUUUAGUAGUGACAAGUGUAGCAAAGAGAAUAGGUUUUGUAAAGACUUGAGUAAUACAAUGGUAAGUUCACUGCUCAGCUUCUAUAGUUUGGAACUUUUUGUAACUCAACAUGCGAGACAGAGAGAGAGAUCA
Raphanus sativus (radish) is the source of this 2048-nucleotide long non-coding RNA. RefSeq lists it as uncharacterized. The transcript has 3 exons. The record is from RefSeq and is a predicted model, not a curated record. NCBI's taxonomy places the organism in Eukaryota, Viridiplantae, Streptophyta, Magnoliopsida, Brassicales, Brassicaceae.